RNAcentral lists this ribosomal RNA (231 nucleotides) under Glomus sp. Its description in RNAcentral is "partial small subunit ribosomal RNA". It matches the Rfam family "Eukaryotic small subunit ribosomal RNA", at positions 548 to 782 of the family's 1831-position model. Lineage: Eukaryota; Fungi; Glomeromycota; Glomeromycetes; Glomerales; Glomeraceae. The record is from RNAcentral.
UUGGAGGGCAAGUCUGGUGCCAGCAGCCGCGGUAAUUCCAGCUCCAAUAGCGUAUAUUAAAGUUGUUGCAGUUAAAAAGCUCGUAGUUGAAUUUCGGGAUCAAUUUGUUGGUCGUGCCUCGGUACGUACUGGCAUUAUUGGUUUCUACCUUCUGAAGAACCUUGAUGUCAUUAAUUUGGUGUCUUGGGGAAUCAGGACUGUUACUUUAAGAAAAAUUAGAGUAGUUAAGCG